RNAcentral lists this ribosomal RNA (301 nucleotides) under uncultured bacterium. RNAcentral describes it as "partial 16S ribosomal RNA". It matches the Rfam family "Bacterial small subunit ribosomal RNA", at positions 509 to 807 of the family's 1533-position model. The record is from RNAcentral.
CAGUCGCCACGGUAAUACGGAGGGUGCAAGCGUUAAUCGGAAUUACUGGGCGUAAAGCGCACGCAGGCGGUCUGUCAAGUCAGAUGUGAAAUCCCCGGGCUUAACCUGGGAACUGCAUUUGAAACUGGCAGGCUAGAGUCUUGUAGAGGGGGGUAGAAUUCCAGGUGUAGCGGUGAAAUGCGUAGAGAUCUGGAGGAAUACCGGUGGCGAAGGCGGCCCCCUGGACAAAGACUGACGCUCAGGUGCGAAAGCGUGGGGAGCAAACAGGAUUAGAUACCCCGGUAGUCCCUGUCUCUUAUAC